CAMAKYAYYAGSSURCUCSMWWCCCGRACCCUCUAKAUGCCCGCUCGCASCGGCYGMMAGUGUGAAGGAUAUCUUURGRWGRSGCCCUUAGAGUUUGAUCCUGGCUCAGAACGAACGCUGGCGGCGUGCUUAACACAUGCAAGUCGAACGUGAUUGAGAGCUUGCUCUCAUGAAAGUGGCGCACGGGUGAGUAACACGUGGAUAAUCUGCCUGGCGAUUCGGGAUAACACUUCGAAAGGGGUGCUAAUACCGGAUAAGCCCACGGGAUUUUCGGAUUCUGCAGGAAAAGGAGGCCUCUAUUUAUAAGCUACCGUAUCAGGAUGGGUCCGCGUACCAUUAGCUAGUUGGUGGGGUAAUGGCCUACCAAGGCGACGAUGGUUAGCUGGUCUGAGAGGAUGAUCAGCCACACUGGAACUGAGACACAGUCCAGACUCCUACGGGAGGCAGCAGUGGGGAAUUUUGCGCAAUGGGGGAAACCCUGACGCAGCAACGCCGCGUGAGUGAUGAAGGCUUUCGGGUCGUAAAGCUCUGUCAGAGGGGAAGAAAUGAAACGUGCUAAUAUCACGUUUUCUUGACGGUACCCUCAAAGGAAGCACCGGCUAACUCCGUGCCAGCAGCCGCGGUAAUAC
Molecule: ribosomal RNA, 629 nt
Filed under: uncultured Geobacteraceae bacterium
Lineage: Bacteria; Pseudomonadati; Thermodesulfobacteriota; Desulfuromonadia; Geobacterales; Geobacteraceae
Description: bacterial SSU rRNA
Rfam family: Bacterial small subunit ribosomal RNA (bases 83-629)
Source: RNAcentral